GCGUCGCCAUGAAGGUGGAGCUGUGCAGUUUUAGCGGGUACAAGAUCUACCCCGGACACGGGAGGCGCUACGCCAGGACCGACGGGAAGGUUUUCCAGUUUCUUAAUGCAAAAUGCGAGUCGGCGUUCCUUUCCAAGAGGAAUCCUCGGCAGAUAAACUGGACUGUCCUCUACAGAAGGAAGCACAAAAAGGGACAGUCGGAAGAAAUUCAAAAGAAAAGAACCCGCCGUGCAGUCAAAUUCCAGAGGGCCAUUACUGGUGCAUCUCUUGCUGAUAUAAUCUAA
Rhinopithecus roxellana (golden snub-nosed monkey) is the source of this 284-nucleotide RNA transcript. It is a transcript of the gene named 60S ribosomal protein L24 pseudogene, with no coding region annotated. The transcript has a single exon. NCBI's taxonomy places the organism in Eukaryota, Metazoa, Chordata, Mammalia, Primates, Cercopithecidae. The record is from RefSeq and is a predicted model, not a curated record.